Cynara cardunculus var. scolymus (artichoke) is the source of this 1777-nucleotide RNA transcript. It is a transcript of the gene named protein WHAT'S THIS FACTOR 1, with no coding region annotated. The transcript is spliced from 2 exons. The record is from RefSeq and is a predicted model, not a curated record. NCBI's taxonomy places the organism in Eukaryota, Viridiplantae, Streptophyta, Magnoliopsida, Asterales, Asteraceae.
ACGCCCCUGUUCGCCGUUGAAUUGAAUGCCUCUGGUAAUUGUUUCUUCCAUUCUUGCUACUCACUUGGUAUUAUGGUUUUGCUAAAUUGCUAUCUGUUAAACCUUGAAAGUUCGAACCUUUUUCUACAAACCAUAGCUGAUUUCUUUACUGGGGUUUAAUUUUUUCUGGCGUUUCGUUUAGCGCCAGCUUCAUGAUUAUCGGCAAUGGUCGUAGAAAUCUCAAACAACGAAUAACUUCUUCUUCUAAGGCUCCCCUUUUUGCAUUCUUAAAUCAAUCCACACUCACUUGUCUACACUCCCAGAAGCACAGCUACACCAAUGUGUACAUGAAAUGGAAAAAAGAUUCAUACUUUGACUCAAUUGAAUCAAUUCACAAAUCCAUCGAACUCAAACCCAUAAUUGCUCUUAAGAACUGUAUUACUGCCUCUCCAGAGGGCCGCAUCCCCAUCUCUGAUGUUUCAAAGAAAGGCUUACAAUUAGAUAUACCAAUUAAGGUGGCUAGGUUUCUUAGACUGUACCCAUCGGUCUUUGAAGAGUUCACCGGACCCAAAUACAAUAUGCCAUGGUUUAGGUUAACCCCAGAGGCUGUUAUGCUUAAUGAUGAAGAACAAGCUGUUUAUAGGGAUUAUAAGGCUGAUCUACAAGAAAGGUUGAAGAAACUAAUACUUAUGAGUGUUGAGAAUAGGUUGCCAUUGAAGGUAAUCCAAGGUAUGCUGUGGUACUUGGGGUUUCCGGAUGAUUAUGUGCGGAACCCUGAAGGAAAUCUUGAUGGGUGUUUUAAGGUAGUGGAAAUGGAAGAUGGGUUAAAGGGGUUAGCAGUUGUGAAAAGUGAAAAGGUUUUGUCUGUACUUGAGAGGAAUGCAUUGAGGAGUGGAGUUGAUAAUGGUGGACAAAUGGACGCUAUUUCAAUUCCAUUGUUUCCAUCUAAAGGUUUGAGGUUGAGGACAAAGAUUUUGGAUUGGUUGGACGGUUUUCAGAGACUUCCCUAUGUUUCACCGUAUGAGGAAUGCCCGGAUUUGUACCCAGAUAGUGACGUGGCUGAGAAACGUGUUGUGGGUUUGCUUCAUGAGUUGCUUAGUCUAUUUGUUGAACAUUCUGCUCAAAGGAAGAAGCUUUUGUGCUUGAGAAAGUAUUUGGGCUUGCCACAGAAGGUUCAUAAGGCGUUUGAGCGACAUCCCCAUGUGUUUUAUCUAUCUUUGAGGAAUAAAACGUGCACUGUAAUAUUAAAAGAAGCGUAUUGUGAUAAAACAGCUAUAGAGACACACCCUCUGGCCAGGGUAAGGAAAAGGUAUAUUGAUUUGGUGAAGGAAUCAAAAGUGAUAUUGAAAAACAGAAGGCUUCAGAACCGAUCUUUUUGCUCUGGUGAUGAGAAUUUGAGGUUGAAUUCAGGUGAGGAUGAUACUCAUAAUGCAAUUGCAAGGUCAGAGAUUUCUUAAUGAUGUUCUUUAAAGAACAUAAAUUUCUUUAUCUUGCUAAAUUUUCCCUACAAGCUUUUAACACGAUAUGAAGCCUGUUCAGUUGUUGGUUUUCUUGGUAGAUAGAAGUUUGAUUGUUCUUCCUUUUGUUUAUUUUCUCAUCUCAAUGCCUUUGGUUCUUAUAGGAUGCAAAUAACAGGGAAUUCUUAGCUGAAGAAAAUGAAAAGAAGCAGAAUGCAAUUAAGGAGAACCAAACAGCGGCCAAGCCUGAUGUUGAUGACGUAAAGGAACAAAUCAUACCCAUUACAUCAAGCUUCAGGGUAUCCAAGGAAGCUAAAAGGAGGAGAGGUAACAACUGUGUU